ACGGGUGAGUAACACGUGGGAACAUACCCUUCGGUUCGGAACAACGUUUGGAAACGGACGCUAAUACCGGAUACGCCCUAUUGGGGAAAGGCUUGCUGCCGAAGGAUUGGCCCGCGUUCGAUUAGCUAGAUGGCGGGGUAAUGGCCCACCAUGGCGACGAUCGAUAGCUGGUCUGAGAGGAUGGCCAGCCACAUUGGGACUGAGACACGGCCCAAACUCCUACGGGAGGCAGCAGUGGGGAAUAUUGGACAAUGGGCGCAAGCCUGAUCCAGCCAUGCCGCGUGAGUGAUGACGGCCUUAGGGUUGUAAAGCUCUUUCGCACGCGACGAUAAUGACGGUAGCGUGAGAAGAAGCCCCGGCUAACUUCGUGCCAGCAGCCGCGGUAAUACGAAGGGGGCUAGCGUUGUUCGGAAUCACUGGGCGUAAAGGGUGCGUAGGCUGGUUCUUAAGUCAGGGGUGAAAUCCCGAGGCUCAACCUCGGAACUGCCUUUGAUACUGGGGAUCUUGAGUCCGGAAGAGGUGAGUGGAACUGCGAGUGUAGAGGUGAAAUUCGUAGA
This 557-nucleotide ribosomal RNA is filed under the name uncultured Beijerinckiaceae bacterium. RNAcentral describes it as "bacterial SSU rRNA". It matches the Rfam family "Bacterial small subunit ribosomal RNA", at positions 102 to 694 of the family's 1533-position model. Lineage: Bacteria; Pseudomonadati; Pseudomonadota; Alphaproteobacteria; Hyphomicrobiales; Beijerinckiaceae. The record is from RNAcentral.